This 253-nucleotide ribosomal RNA is filed under the name uncultured bacterium. RNAcentral's name for it is "partial 16S ribosomal RNA". It matches the Rfam family "Bacterial small subunit ribosomal RNA", at positions 524 to 776 of the family's 1533-position model. The record is from RNAcentral.
UACGGAGGGUGCGAGCGUUGUCCGGAAUCAUUGGGCGUAAAGCGCGCGUAGGCGGCCCUGUAAGUCCGCUGUAAAAGUCAAAGGCUCAACCUUUGAAAGCCGGUGGAUACUGCAGGGCUAGAGUCCGGAAGAGGCGAGUGGAAUUCCUGGUGUAGCGGUGGAAUGCGCAGAUAUCAGGAGGAACACCAAUAGCGAAGGCAGCUCGCUGGGACGGUACUGACGCUAAGGCGCGAAAGCGUGGGGAGCGAACAGG